Long non-coding RNA from Gasterosteus aculeatus aculeatus (three-spined stickleback), 3826 nucleotides. Lineage: Eukaryota; Metazoa; Chordata; Actinopteri; Perciformes; Gasterosteidae. The record is from Ensembl.
GCUCCAGUGAGGUAGAAUUCUUUAAAUGCUGAGAAAAGGUUCUUCAAUGCUUACGUGCUGAUCUCUUGUACCGGAUACACUGGGCCAUGAAUGAAUGGCCCAACAGGACAUUUGUGAUGGCACAACGCCUAAUCUUAAAUAUUGAUGAACAGUGACAAAUAUUUCACUCGUUUUGAUUUAUCUAUUUUGAACAUUUAACAUGCGUUAAAACAAAACAAAUAACUGCAUUGAUUAAAAGAAUGUCGUACAAAUUGUCAUUAACAUUAAAAAAUAUUGCAUGGUCAAAAAACUCAUUCAUCAUUUAAAUAACUCAAACAAUAAACUCAUUAUUUGUCAUAUAAAUCUUUAAACUGGUAGUCUUUAUUCCUUCUUUAAUUUAAAUUGCGAUCUUGGUAAUGGUUAGUUUUCCCCUGUGGUUUGCACCUCAUUACUCCUGAUGCUUUUACUCAACCAGGAAGGCACAUCAGGGCUGCUCAUGCAUCCACAGUGGUAAGAAAUAACCAUUCAAAUGUUUAUAAGCCUAUGUUGAGUUUGUAAUGGGCCUGUAUGGUCUUUUGUUUUUGUGAUAACGGGCAAUGGGAUAUUUUAUAUUAUUAUUAUCAUAAGAAAUCCCUGUUUUGUGUUGCCUAUAUAGUGUUUCAGAGACUCUAUACCUGUGCAAGGUGGUUACGCCCAAACUGACCCAUGAGUGGUUCCGCCAUGCGUGCUUCUUAAUGGUGUAUUUGUCUGAAGAUCGUCAUGGACCCAAAGGGAAUUUCUGAAAUGCAUAUUAACCUCCACCGCUUCCCUCCAGCAAAACUGCAGCACUGAACACCAGACAAAUAUAAAUAUAAUCUCUAGGAGACACCGUCCCUCGUUUGCUCGGCCUCAUUGACACCACAGCUGCUGGAGAUAAGCUGACUGUUAAUGUCACCGUGGUGACACACGCCAAGUGUGAUCCCGGAGCCACUUAUACACCCUAAUAGCAUUAUCAUGUAUUGUCGUAACAAUGAUGUGAUUCACACACGGCCGUGUUCCUUCACACCGUGUGGAAGAACAGCUCAUUAAUAUUUGUUCAAAUUCUUUACCGUUAAAUUAGGAUUUAGCAUCACAGCUGUAAUUUGGUGACUCAUUUGAAUUCCCAGUGGAACCCGUUCACAGCGAGGCCUUGAGAGGUGUGGAGCACAAACAGAUGAUUAUCCGCUGGGGGGGCGUGCGCAACCAGACAAUCAAAUGUAAUUUGUAAUAGAAAAAUAGAUUCAAGCGGAAGUCUGAGUAUGACAGUAUUUAUUUUGACUAAAUAAAAUCUAAAAGCAACCAUUUGCUAUCAUAUCGGGAAGGAAGAGGUUUAAAAACACGCCUCUUUUUCAAGUUGAUUGGCUGCUUCGGCCAUCGGGCCAUUUUAUUUGAAUUUGAAAAAUGUCAAAAUGUCAAAUCCACAACUUAGCUACAAAGUGCACAUAAAUGUACUUCUUACAUUUGUGAUAAACACCUGACCAGUUCUUUAAACGCUGAGUGAAUAUUGUUUAACAUUUUUAACCUUAUCUUCUGUUUUUCUGUUAUUAUGUAUCAUCUGCCAUUUGGGACUAUAGCACUUUAACUAACUGGCACAUUUACAGCAUGUUUUAUAGAUGUGCACUGUCCCCUAUCAAAUACACUAAUUAAAUUAAACUUGCGUGACUGGGAAUAAAACCAACUGUUCUCGUGGCUGCUGACAAAAUCCCUAAACAGCGAGUCAGAAGGAAAGCGAGACGAGACUUUGAUACCAUGUCACACACCGACUUCUGUCCAAACCGCCGAGCAGCACGACAGAGAUUAAAACAGCUGACAGCAGCGUCUGCCGGUGGUUAAUAAAACAGAAUGUCAUGUACCAGUGUUAAGAGUGGCAUGUACCAGUGUUAAGAGUGGAAUGUACCAGUGUAAAGAGUGGAAUGUACCAGUGGAAAGAGUGGAAUGUACCAGUGUUAAGAGUGUUAAGAGUGGAAUGUACCAGUGUUACGAGUGGCAUGUGCCAGUGUUACGAGUGGAAUGUACCAGUGUAAAGAGUGGAAUGUACCAGUGUAAAGAGUGGAAUGUACCAGUGUUAAGAGUGUUAAGAGUGGCAUGUACCAGUGUUAAGAGUGUUAAGAGUGGCAUGUACCAGUGUUAAGAGUGGAAUGUACCAGUGUAAAGAGUGGAAUGUACCAGUGUAAAGAGUGGAAUGUACCAGUGUUAAGAGUGGCAUGUACCACUGUUAAGAGUGUUAAGAGUGGAAUGUACCAGUGUUACGAGUGGCAUGUGCCAGUGUUACGAGUGGAAUGUACCAGUGUUACGAGUGGAAUGUACCAGUGUUAAGAGUGGCAUGUACCACUGUUAAGAGUGUUAAGAGUGGAAUGUGCCAGUGGCCCGGUGUUAAGGGUGGAAUGUACCGGUGUUAAGAGUGGCAUGUACCACUGUUAAGAGUGUUAAGAGUGGCAUGUGCCAGUGUUACGAGUGGCAUGUACCAGUGUUAAGAGUGUUAAGAGUGGCAUGUGCCACUGUUACAAGUGGCAUGUGCCAGUGUUACGAGUGGCAUGUGCCAGUGUUACGAGUGGCAUGUACCAGUGUUAAGAGUGGCAUGUACCAGGGUUAAGAGUGUUAAGAGUGGAAUGUGCCAGUGUUAAGAGUGGUAAGAGUGGAAUGUACCAGUGUAAAGAGUGGCAUGUACCAGUGUUAAGAGUGGAAUGUACCAGUGUUAAGAGUGGCAUGUACCACUGUUAAGAGUGUUAAGAGUGGAAUGUGCCAGUGGGCCGAGUGGAAUGUACCAGUGUAAAAAGUGGCAUGUACCAGUGUUAAGAGUGUUAAGAGUGGCAUGUGCCAGUGUUACGAGUGGCAUGUACCACUGUUAAGACGUUACAAGUACAAUUUAAGUGCUACAAUUUCUUAGUCUUUAGUCGAGGUAGAGUCUGAAGAGUGUGUCUUUAGUUUGCGGCGGAAGAUGUGAAGGCUCUCUGCGGUCAUGAUGUCUUCAGAGAGCUCGUUCCACCAUUUCGGCGCAAGGACAGCAAAGAGUCAAGAUCUAGUCGAGGGUUUUGCUCUCAGUGAGGGAGGGACAAGUAGUUUUGCAGAUGCAGAGCGGAGAGUGCGGGUUGGGAUGUAGGGUUUGACCAUGUCCUGGAUGUAAGCUGGACCCGAUCCAUUCACAGCAUGGUACGUGAGUUCCAAUGCUUUACCAGUGUAAAGAGUGGCAUGUGCCAGUGUUAAGAGUGGCAUGUGCCAGUGUUAAGGGUGGAAUGUACCAGUGUUAAGAGUGGCAUGCACCAGUGUUAAGAGUGGCAUGUACCAGUGUUAAGGGUGGCAUGUGCCAGUGUUAAGAGUGGAAUGUGCCAGUGUUAAGAGUGGAAUGUAUCAGUGUUACGAGUGGCAUGUAUCAGUGUUAAGAGUGUUAAGAGUCGCAUGUGCCAGUGUUACGAGUGGCAUGUACCAGUGUUACGAGUGGCAUGUACCAGUGUUAAGAGUGGUAAAGAUGGCAUGUACCAAUGUUAAGAGUGGAAUGUACCAGUGUAAAGAGUGGAAUGUACCAGUGUAAAGAGUGGAAUGUGCCAGUGUAAAGAGUGGAAUGUGCCAGUGUUACGAGUGGAAUGUGCCAGUGUUACGAGUGGAAUGUGCCAGUGUUACGAGUGGAAUGUGCCAGUGUUACGAGUGGCAUGUACCAGUGUUACGAGUGGCAUGUACCAGUGUUAAGAGUGGAAUGUACCAGUGUAAAGAGUGGAAUGUACCAGUGUUAAGAGUGGAAUGUACCAGUGUUAAGAGUGGCAUGUGCCAGUGUUACGAGUGGAAUGUACCAGUGUAAAGAGUGGAAUGUACCAGUGUAAAGAGUGGAAUGUAC